GGGACGAUGGGGGUCCUCUAAUACAUAGCAAGUCGAACGAUGAACCACUUCGGUGGGGAUUAGUGGCGAACGGGUGAGUAACACGUGGGCAAUCUGCCCUGCACUCUGGGACAAGCCCUGGAAACGGGGUCUAAUACCGGAUACUGACCAUUACGGGCAUCCGUGGUGGUCGAAAGCUCCGGCGGUGCAGGAUGAGCCCGCGGCCUAUCAGCUUGUUGGUGAGGUAACGGCUCACCAAGGCGACGACGGGUAGCCGGCCUGAGAGGGCGACCGGCCACACUGGGACUGAGACACGGCCCAGACUCCUACGGGAGGCAGCAGUGGGGAAUAUUGCACAAUGGGCGAAAGCCUGAUGCAGCGACGCCGCGUGAGGGAUGACGGCCUUCGGGUUGUAAACCUCUUUCAGCAGGGAAGAAGCGAAAGUGACGGUACCUGCAGAAGAAGCGCCGGCUAACUACGUGCCAGCAGCCGCGGUAAUACGUAGGGCGCGAGCGUUGUCCGGAAUUAUUGGGCGUAAAGAGCUCGUAGGCGGCUUGUCACGUCGGUUGUGAAAGCCCGGGGCUUAACCCCGGGUCUGCAGUCGAUACGGGCAGGCUAGAGUUCGGUAGGGGAGAUCGGAAUUCCUGGUGUAGCGGUGAAAUGCGCAGAUAUCAGGAGGAACACCGGUGGCGAAGGCGGAUCUCUGGGCCGAUACUGACGCUGAGGAGCGAAAGCGUGGGGAGCGAACAGGAUUAGAUACCCUGGUAGUCCACGCCGUAAACGGUGGGCACUAGGUGUGGGCGACAUUCCACGUCGUCCGU
Molecule: ribosomal RNA, 800 nt
Filed under: Streptomyces lusitanus
Lineage: Bacteria; Bacillati; Actinomycetota; Actinomycetes; Kitasatosporales; Streptomycetaceae
Description: bacterial SSU rRNA
Rfam family: Bacterial small subunit ribosomal RNA
Source: RNAcentral